Molecule: long non-coding RNA, 2761 nt
Filed under: Solanum tuberosum (potato)
Lineage: Eukaryota; Viridiplantae; Streptophyta; Magnoliopsida; Solanales; Solanaceae
Description: long non-coding RNA (STUB_LNC004958)
Source: RNAcentral
CCAACAGGUUCCAAGGUCAAUCCCCCACUUCAUGUGCAAAACAUGUUAAAGGUAAGAACUUUUUAGAGAGUACAAAAUCAUAUUUUCUCAAUCUCAAUUUAUGCGACAGUGCUUGAAUUUCAAGACCUAAAUAAAUUUUACUUUGAUCGCACUUUUUCAAAUAUUUUUUUAAAUAUUUUAAAUUGUUAAUUAUUAUGACUUAUAAUACUUUUUAACAUAAUUUUUUAUAUAAAUUUAAUUUGUUAAAAGUGAGAAAAAUCUAUAUCCGAAUUCAUAACUAAAAUUAAAAAGUUUGACUCUUUGAAAUUAUGCAUAAACAUAAUGUAUUAAUUCAACAGAACUAAGUAUGGGCGUAAGUUUCCUCCUGCUAUUUAUCUAAUAUGUUGUAUUAAAACCUGCAAAACUUUUCUUACUUAUCUUUUCGGAGCUUGGAGGCUAUUCAAUUUAGUUUCACUAAGGCUGAAAGCAGGCCACUUCUAUAAUCACAACAAACAAAAAGCAGAACAGAGAAGUAAAUUACAAAGCUAAGAAAAAAUUGCAUAACAGAGACAAAAAAACAAUGCAGAAUAGUUAAAGAAGUAUAAAAUAGAGGGGGGAAAUGCACAACAGAGACAAAACACAUAGCAGAUGCUUGUAUUAACCAAAUUUUAUCUAAAGGAAUUAAAUUUUAAGCAGUGUCAAGAACUAGUGAGACGACUCAUCCAACAUAUGAAAACCAAAUGCGAGAUCACUAAACCAAUAUUCAAAUUUUCAACAAAAUUGACAUUAAGCAGAGGAAAAGUAUACUAACUUGCAACUUCACAUCUACAACGCAACAUAAAACAUAAAGAGGGAGGUUAUAAGUUAUGGACAAGUACUCACGAAAUAGUACGAGAAAUUAGAAAAACUUAAAGUUAUAUAUCUUCUGUUUGAUAUUUUCAGCCUCCAUGAAAUAAUCAGAUGGCCCAUAAAUUCCUUGUAUCUGAUAAAUUUAAAGGUUAAAACUCAUCACUAGUUUUGCAGAGCCCCAACAUAUUUGGCUUUAUCAAAAGAUCUAGUUUGGAUACAUUCUUUCAAGAAUUUAGAAGCCCCCAUGAAAACAAGUUACAGAGCUUAGGAUGUUAGAAAAUACAAUAAAGCACAAGAGUUUUUGAUCAGGUAACAAUUUCAUUGAUCACAAGGUCAAAGUUGAUUGUAUACAAAAAAUAUAUCAAGGAGUAAACAACAUACAAAAAAGACAUGAUCCUCUACAAAAGACACCCAAAAUCCUCUAAACAAUACUAAAUAAGGAAGCAAAUUUUACUCCUUUAUCACUAUCAAGUCACAUUAGAGCCACUAAAUUUCAUACGAAACCAAAACAAUUAAGCAAGAUGGUCAGGAUCUUGUUAGCAACUACAGAAAUAGACUAUAAUAACAUGAAAAUGAUUUAACUUAUACACUGACAUCAUGCAACUUAGGCAACAAAUAUAUUCAAAGGUGUUUUUGCUCAACUGAUUUUUUAAAGCAAGGUAGACAUGAAUGCUCUUAUAGCAGUCUAAUCCUUUUCAACAAUAAUAAGUUCAAUUCUAAAUGCAUAAUUCUUCAUUCGACUAUGAAAUUUUCAACUACCCAUUCCACACAGUAUUUAAGUCCUCAUUUGAUGUUAUUCAUAAUAUCAAAUCCACCACCUCUAUAAAAAUGACCCAACAACUUUCACAAAAACUCAAAUCUAAAUCUGAAGGAAAUAAAACUACCCAAGGUAAUAAUAUAUGCACAAGUAAAAGACCCAACAAUGGUUAUAUAAAAGAGACUUAUUAAUCUACAAAUAGUAGGUAGGAGCCUUUAUUCAAUAACUCUUGUAUUUUUGUACAUUGAGUAUAUCUCUCUACUACUUGAAUGUAUCUCUCUACUAUAUUGAAUAUAUGUAAUAAAGCACCCCUAUUUAUAAUACUAACAACCAAAGUAAACUAGGACUAACAAAUUAUAAUUAAACAUAAAUAAAGUAAAUAUCAUAAAUAACAAAUCCUAAACUAUUAAGGAAUUCUAAACUACUUAGGAAUCCUACUGUUCGUUUAUUUCCUACAUAGCCUCUCUUAAACCAAGAUCUUCAAAUAUGACCAUGCCUAGCAUCUUCUUCAACUUUAUGAACAACUCCAAUUUUAAUGGCUUUGUGAAAAUAUCAGCAACUUGUUCUUCGGUCUUGCAAUAUUCAAUCAUUAUCUCUUUAUCAUGGACCAAGUCACGAAUGAAGUGUCAUUUGAUGUCAAUGUGUUUGCUAUGACCAUGAAAAACUGGAUUCUUUGUAAACGCAACUGCAGGCUUGCUAUAACAAAAUAUUUUUGUAGGACUAUCUUGCUUGUGUUGAAGAAAUCGAAGCAUCCUUGUCAACCAUAAUGCUUGUGUAGCACUACUUGUUGCAAUCAUAUACUCUGUUUCAGCAGUUCAUAAAGCAACAACUUGUUGUUUCUUUGAAGACCAUGAAAAUACACUAGAUCCCAAAUAAAAUGUAUAGCCAGAAGUACUUUUUCUUUGCAUCAUAUCACUAGCCCAAUCACUAUCAGUUAAUCCAACAAGAUUACUAUCAUUAGUAUUUGAAUAAAAUAUGUCAUCAGAGUGUGUACCUUAAAUAUAUCUCAAAAUUCUCUUGACGGCUUGCAAGUGAGAUUGACACGGAAACUCCAUAAAUCUACUAAUUAAUCCAACUUCAUAAGUAAUAUCAUGCCUUGUAGAAGUCAAGUAUCUUAGACUCCCUACCAAUUUUCUAAAUUAUGUAGCAUCAACAAAAUCGUGUGUGCCAUCUUUG